CCAGGGGCCCUGCUCAGGGCCACUUAUUUUUUUAAAAUAUAUUUUAU
Non-coding RNA from Myotis lucifugus (little brown bat), 47 nucleotides. The record is from Rfam. Lineage: Eukaryota; Metazoa; Chordata; Mammalia; Chiroptera; Vespertilionidae.